CCUACGGGUGGCAGCAGUGGGGAAUAUUGGACAAUGGGGGGAACCCUGAUCCAGCCAUGCCGCGUGUGUGAAGAAGGCCCUCGGGUUGUAAAGCACCUUCAGUGAGGAAGAACGCCUGGUGGUUAAUACCCAUCAGGAAAGACAUCACUCACAGAAGAAGCACCGGCUAACUCCGUGCCAGCAGCCGCGGUAAUACGGAGGGUGCGAGCGUUAAUCGGAAUUACUGGGCGUAAAGCGCGCGUAGGUGGCUUGAUAAGCCGGUUGUGAAAGCCCCGGGCUCAACCUGGGAACGGCAUCCGGAACUGUCAAGCUAGAGUGCAGGAGAGGAAGGUAGAAUUCCCGGUGUAGCGGUGAAAUGCGUAGAGAUCGGGAGGAAUACCAGUGGCGAAGGCGGCCUUCUGGACUGACACUGACACUGAGGUGCGAAAGCGUGGGUAGCAAACAGGAUUAGAUACCCGAGUAGUC
RNAcentral lists this ribosomal RNA (465 nucleotides) under Vreelandella stevensii. RNAcentral describes it as "partial 16S ribosomal RNA". It matches the Rfam family "Bacterial small subunit ribosomal RNA", at positions 338 to 795 of the family's 1533-position model. Lineage: Bacteria; Pseudomonadati; Pseudomonadota; Gammaproteobacteria; Oceanospirillales; Halomonadaceae. The record is from RNAcentral.